RNAcentral lists this non-coding RNA (32 nucleotides) under Macaca fascicularis (crab-eating macaque). Lineage: Eukaryota; Metazoa; Chordata; Mammalia; Primates; Cercopithecidae. RNAcentral also lists the same sequence under 1 other name. The record is from RNAcentral.
UUCAGGACCAGAAGGCCAAAACAUCUGUCAGC